AUGUCUAGCUCGACUUCGGCCACCCGUCAAUCAUGGACGCAGUACGGUCCACUACCGUUGACAAGAUGCCCCGAUUGCCCGCGCAUGGAGCCUCUGAAGCGUUUGACUUGUGUGAGGGAAGAAAAUGGUAACCGUGGGCGCGAGUUUGUGAAAUGCUUGAGCAAGCCACAGCCGGGGCAGGUUCGGAAGAAAUGUGGGCAUUUUGAGUGGCUCGAUGACUAUGUUGAAAGGUUGAAAUUGGAGGGAUCAACCCCAACCCAAGAGCUCAAUUUUGGGGGGCGGCUUGCCGUGGAACAAGCCCCCAAUUUGGCGGACAGAGCCGAUCCGAUGAUGCACAGUGCAGAACUGAAGUGUGAAUAA
Molecule: ribosomal RNA, 360 nt
Filed under: Triticum aestivum (bread wheat)
Lineage: Eukaryota; Viridiplantae; Streptophyta; Magnoliopsida; Poales; Poaceae
Description: partial small subunit ribosomal RNA
Source: RNAcentral